AGACAGAGACAGAGGUCAGAGAGGUCAGUGACAAGACAAAGACACAUGACCUCUGCUCCCUGGUUGCCAUGGCUGCAAGCUUUGUGUCAGUGCCGGUUCUAGCCUUUUGGAGGCCCUAAGCAACAUUGUCUUCCCUCUCAGAUCUAACCAGACAGACAGAGGAGAUUUGCGGUGAGAGGAGAAAUACAACUGAGCCAGAGACAAUAUCCAAAUUCCAGAAGACCCAUCCAGAGAGGUGAAUCACGACAGAGCCAGAGACAAUGACUGAUUGAUUGCUUCUGUGGACAGGUGUCUUUUAUACAGUUGAACACUUUCUACUUGAGUGAUGAUAAUGUUCAGACACCAGAAAAGCCAACUUGCCUGAUGGCCUUUACACACCUAAUUGUGACGAUCCAUGUAAGAAUGCUGGGUUGGACACAAGGCAGUGCUAGCAU
Esox lucius (northern pike) is the source of this 434-nucleotide long non-coding RNA. RefSeq lists it as uncharacterized. Lineage: Eukaryota; Metazoa; Chordata; Actinopteri; Esociformes; Esocidae. The transcript has 3 exons. The record is from RefSeq and is a predicted model, not a curated record.